AUGUUUUAUUUGAUAUAUAUUUUUAAAGGGUGUGCCACGUGGCACAUUCUAAUUAGGCAAUGGUAUUUACCUGAAACACACCGUUUUAGUAAAUGGGAAAAAACAAAAAUAAAUAAGUAAUAAUAAUAAUAUAAUAUACAUAGAACUUUCUACACACUCACGUGGGAGAAAAAAAAAAAAAAAAAAAAAAAAACAUAACACACAUAACUUUCCCUUUCCAUUCUCCUCUCACUUCCGUUAGCUCUCUGUCCCUCAUUCCUCUUCUUCCAUUUCUUUUUCCUUCCUUUCCCAAAUCAAUCAUCCUUAAGAAUAAUUGGUCAUCUAAGUAAAGCAACUUCAUAUUCAAGCUCUAUCGGUAGAAUUUUGGGGGUUAGGGUUUGUGCUUUGAAGUAGAAGGAGAAUACCCAUAUUGUGAGAGUUGCUCAUUGAGACUCUUUGAGAUUCGGUGGAAAUUUCUCCGGUGGUCAUUCAGAAAGGCAUCACUAGGAAUUGAGUUCUUUCGUCAUAUCUAUUCAAAGUCAAUUGUGUAGAAAGCUUCUAGCAGGGUUAAGGAUCUAUCAAUGUCACUCUUUUGGUAGGUUUCCUAUGUAUAUAAAUUGAAUGGUCGAUGUAUCUGCAACUAUUGGUAGUCUAGAACUGUUCUGUUGAGUUGUACAAACAUCUAGUUAUGUUACUUUGAGAUUCUGGUUGAUAAUACAAGUUUAUAGAUAGGAUUCAUAUCUUGGAAAAUAUUCAAAGUACAGAGGAUACUCUGUUGAAAUU
RNAcentral lists this long non-coding RNA (762 nucleotides) under Medicago truncatula (barrel medic). RNAcentral describes it as "lncRNA gene45163". The record is from RNAcentral. Lineage: Eukaryota; Viridiplantae; Streptophyta; Magnoliopsida; Fabales; Fabaceae.